Molecule: ribosomal RNA, 253 nt
Filed under: uncultured bacterium
Lineage: Bacteria
Description: partial 16S ribosomal RNA
Rfam family: Bacterial small subunit ribosomal RNA
Source: RNAcentral
UCCAGAGACUGCAAGCGUUAUUCGGAUUCACUGGGCGUAAAGGGUGCGCAGGUGGCCAGGUGUGUUAGGCGUGAAAGCCCGGGGCUUAACCCCGGAAUUGCACCUAAAACUACUUGGCUAGAGCAUUGGAGAGGGGAGCAGAAUUCAUGGUGUAGCAGUGAAAUGCGUAGAUAUCAUGAGGAAUACCAGAGGCGAAGGCGGCUCCCUGGACAAUUGCUGACACUCAGGCACGAAAGCGUGGGGAGCAAAAGGG